AACAAGGCGUACCUGCGGACCUGCGGAGGGAUCAUUACAGAGUUCGUGCCCUCGCGGGUAGAUCUCCCACCCUUGUGUAUUUUCUACAUCUUGUUGCUUUGGCAGGCCGUUGGUUCGCCAACCACCGGCUCGCGGGCUGGUGCGUGCCUGCCAGAGGACCUCUCAAACUCGGUUUGUUAGUGUCGUCUGAGUACCAUAACAAUCGUUAAAACUUUCAACAAUGGAUCUCAGAUCGGAAGA
Molecule: unclassified non-coding RNA, 240 nt
Filed under: soil metagenome
Description: partial contains 5.8S ribosomal RNA, internal transcribed spacer 2, and large subunit ribosomal RNA
Source: RNAcentral